UAGACAUUGAGAUGGAUUGGGGUCAGGC
This 28-nucleotide non-coding RNA is filed under the name Homo sapiens (human). The record is from RNAcentral. Lineage: Eukaryota; Metazoa; Chordata; Mammalia; Primates; Hominidae.